Molecule: long non-coding RNA, 614 nt
Filed under: Marmota monax (woodchuck)
Lineage: Eukaryota; Metazoa; Chordata; Mammalia; Rodentia; Sciuridae
Source: RNAcentral
AGGCUCUGAAGUUUAUUCUAACCCAUCCCUGGAUGAAAACAAACAGGGAAUCGUUUAUGCUUCCCUGAAUCAUUCUAUCAUUGGUGUGAACCUAAGACAAGCAAGACCAGUGCAAGAAGCACCAACAGAAUAUGCUUCAGUAUGUGUGAGGAGUCAAAGCCGGUCCUGAUACCAACCAGCCAAAUGAUGGGCCUAUCACCUCGUCUGGCCCCAAGAGUUUGCCAAAUAUUCAUCAACUUGGGAAAUUUCAGUUCAAGGUGGUUUAUGGUGGUGCUUGUGUCUUAAUGGUCCAUAGAACAUAUGAUCAGAAUUCCUCCUGAUAACUUCUUUGGGAGAAUUUUAUAUUAUAGCCUUGAACAACAAAAUCUUCUCUCCAAAACUGUUUCAUAUUGUUAAUAGCACAAUAGUAGAACAUUUAAACUCAGCUAUAUUUUACCCAAUAUAUAAACUCAAUAUUUCCUUUGAGGCUAUCAGAGAGACUUGUGGAGAAGAGAGGUUUGUAUUAUCUGGAUCAAUUCACUACACACUCUUGAAAAGGAAAGAAUGUGCUAAUUUGAGUAACUAUAAAUAUAGUCACUGUGUGUUACCAGUCAAUAUUCUGUAAUUAGAAAUUU